This 293-nucleotide ribosomal RNA is filed under the name uncultured bacterium. RNAcentral's name for it is "partial 16S ribosomal RNA". It matches the Rfam family "Bacterial small subunit ribosomal RNA", at positions 505 to 796 of the family's 1533-position model. The record is from RNAcentral.
GUGUCAGCAGCCGCGGUAAUACAGAGGGUGCGAGCGUUGUUCGGAAUUACUGGGCGUAAAGCGCGCGCAGGCGGCUCUUUAAGUCUGACGGUGAAAUGCCGGGGCUCAACCCCGUGCCCGCCGCGGAUACUGGAGAGCUGGAGACACGUAGAGGCAAGCGGAAUUCCGGGUGUAGCGGUGGAAUGCGUAGAGAUCCGGAAGAACACCGGAGGCGAAGGCGGCUUGCUGGGCGUAGUCUGACGCUGAGGCGCGAAAGCGUGGGGAGCGAACAGGAUUAGAUACCCUUGUAGUCC